ACUGGAGUUUGAUCCUGGCUCAGGACGAACGCUUGCGGCGUGCCUAAGAAAUGCAAGUCGAACGGGGACUUCGGUCCUAGUGGCGAACGGUCGUGUAACACGUAAGCAACCUGCCCUGAAGUGGGGGACAACAUCCCGAAAGGGGUGCUAAUACCGCAUGUGGUCACGAGUCGGCAUCGACUUGUGUCUAAAGAUUUAUCGCCUUUAGAUGGGCCCGCGUUGGAUUAGCUAGUUGGUGGGGUAAAGGCCUACCAAGGCGACGAUCCAUAGCUGGUCUGAGAGGAUGAUCAGCCACACUGGGACUGAGACACGGCCCAGACUCCUACGGGGAGGCAGCAGUGGGGAAUAUUGGGCAAUGGACGCAAGUCUGACCCAGCCAUGCCGCGUGAAGGAUGAAGUUCCUCUGGAUUGUAAACUUCUUUUGAGUGGAAGAAAUUUGACGGUACCACUCGAUAAGCCCCGGCUAACUACGUGCCAGCAGCCGCGGUAAUCUGAUGGCGCG
This 502-nucleotide ribosomal RNA is filed under the name uncultured Armatimonadota bacterium. RNAcentral's name for it is "bacterial SSU rRNA". It matches the Rfam family "Bacterial small subunit ribosomal RNA", at positions 1 to 536 of the family's 1533-position model. Lineage: Bacteria; Bacillati; Armatimonadota. The record is from RNAcentral.